This is a long non-coding RNA of Oncorhynchus kisutch (coho salmon), 4087 nucleotides long. RefSeq lists it as uncharacterized. The transcript has 3 exons. The record is from RefSeq and is a predicted model, not a curated record. Lineage: Eukaryota; Metazoa; Chordata; Actinopteri; Salmoniformes; Salmonidae.
UGACCUGACACACAAAAAAAUAUAUAAAUUAAAGACAGCGCUUGCUUAUCUGCAACACUUAGGCCUACAUCAUUUUGGUGAUGUCAAAGAUUAAAAAUCAUACAAGAAGCUUACACAAAAUGUAGGCUAUUGCAAAGUCUCAUUGAGAUCAAAGGUCUGAUAAAGCAAUGGGAAAAAAUGUAUCCAAGGGGACUGAAGCACUAAGGUAACAAUCAUCUGCAUAGUUUCAAGACACUGACCUUAUAUCAGCAAUAUGCUGCUGUAGUGCAAUUCCAUGGUAACAAAAUUAUGCUUAGACUCAGUUCACUUUAAAAUGUAAGCCAAACAAAAACCAUUGACUUAAAAGUUUAACAAACCAUAAAACUGUAUGAAAAAGGACAAAUUUGAACAAUUUCCACAGAAAAUAUGUUACAAAAACAAAUUUAGUAAAGUUAUAUCAACGCUGAAUCAAUGUCUCGGAAGAACACAUAAUUAAUUUGCAUUCCUCAAAACAUUAGCAUAAUAGGCCUAUAAGUUUACUGUGACACCAAAAACACCUCAUUUCUAAAUGAGAUUUCAGGAUGGCUAGCUGAAGCUGAAUAUUCCCCCAAAAAUGAUCAUGCGCCAAAACUCAGAGCGCACAACCAGGCAGAAUUUAUGCUUUGAUUAAAACAAUAUACAAUUAAUGCUAAUAGUUUGUUAACAGCAUCUGCGCUUAUUCAAAAAGAUCUAAAUGCAUAUUACCAUGAAACUGAUUGUGAUAAAUCAAGUGAUUGACAUGGAGAUGCAGUUUGAACGUUUCACCGGUAAAACGUGAAGAAUUAUCACUCACAACUGACAGUGAUGAUGGCCUAUUUUGAAAUAAGUUGGUGUUGAGGGUGUUAGAAAUAUAACCUUAUAUAUAUAUAUAUAAAUAUGGCAUAGGCAGAUAUCGCAAUUGGUGGAUGCAUUUCAUACAUAUUCUAUAAUGAUAGGCUGGCUAUUCAAUUGGCUAAAUACGUUGGUACAAACUUUGAUUACCUUUUUAAAAAAAUUAUUAUUACGAUCCCUCACCUACAAAAAUAGCACUACACCACUGCCCAUUGUGGAGUUGAGUUUAGUCGCCUACCAUCAAUCAAACAAAACAAGAGGCAAAGGCUAUUAGUUUGACAGGCCAUGGUUUCCAUUAUAUCCUACAGAACUCCUCUACAUCUGCCUCUGCGUAGUCAAAUUUACACAUAUAAACACCGUAUAUAUUUCAUGAGACUGGCCUUACACAGGCCUAGCCCUGCGCUACAGUACAGUAGUACCGAAUAAACCAAGGAAAGCAGUAAGCAAGACCACAUCGUUCAUAAAUGUGUAAUUAUCUUUGGCAAGACCGUCCCAGGUAGGAAUGUAGAUUCUGUGUGGUCAAUGACCCCUUGAUGCGAUACCUGUGCGCAUGUCAAGAAAGGUGAGCAAGCGAGGUUGUUUUUUAGGGACAUGUCAGUUGACACAGACAGCGCUAGCAGUAGUUAGCUAGCGCAACUAAUACUUAAAACAUUUCUCAAGUGCGUUCGCUGCCAGACCAAUAUAAUUACUUAUACACAUACUUAGACCAUCAGACAAACAUACAUAGUAACGAUAUGAACAGUAAAUUGGAAGUUGGAACUGUGUUAGCUGACUAACGUUAGUAGCAUGCAAGCCAGCAGGCUAGCUUUGAUAACGGAAAUGUAAACAAUCAUCGGAGAAUUCUGCAAAGUGAGACGAACUAAGACCGUGAAUCCAAUCCAAUGAUAUCAACUUUGUUUGUCACUUCCUGCAACGCCCAGUCGGUGAUGAUGUCAUCACGCACUCACCUUUGCAGCCCCCUCGGAGCAUCAGAGCCAUCAGCGCAGGAGCUGGCUUGAGAAAGUUCUCAGGGUCGUGCCUGGGGUCUGGGAAAACAGGAGCUGGAUGGUGUGUCUACUGUAAGUGGUCAUGAAACCCAAUGGCGUGUGAAAUGGACAACUGGGACUUGGUGUUGGAUUUACCCUAGAAUCCUCGGCCGCCAGGCAGCCACGCCUUGCAUGCGAAUCCCUCAGAACUCUAACUUGUUAGAAAAAAAAUAACCCAUUAUGACUCCCUCUGGACAAAGCACCAAAACCCCUCAUCAAGUUCAGGAAGGAGCACCAGUCCAGUCGGUAUGGGUGAUAUUUCACCGUUAUUUUCUCUUCUUGGCAAAGGGCUACAUUAGCCUACUCAGCCGAUGGGGCUGAGUGCCCACAUCCUCCAGAGUCGUUACCCUAAGUUAGAUGUUUACCUAGACAGAUAUCCCCUGCUGAGCCCAGAGCCAGAUCUCAAAGUAUCCACUAACACUCUGCAACGUGCUGUGCCUGGACCUGGGCCAAAGCACCAGAGAGAUGGCGUAGUCGCUAAACCACCCGCCCAAAUCUCAGUUUGAUCCUCCAUUAUCACAUUAACCCUGGCUAAUUGUAAAAUAUAGGUUCCCCAGAGGAAGAGAGGGUAUUUGUACUCCUUUAGGAACAAAUCUCAACCUUUUUAUCUGAUAGUGUAAUCCAAUGCCUUGAAACACAUGGUUUACAGGCCACAUCAGGCCUGUAAAUCAUAUUAUGUUGGCUUGCAAGGUGAUGUGUAAAUCCGAAUAAACACUCUGCCAUGCCUUGGACAAUUUAGUGAGAUAAAUAUGUUGGUACUAUCAGCGCUCAGAGCUCCAAGUGUGCAUUAGAGGUGGAAAAAGUACCCAAUUGUCAUACUUGAGUAAAAGUAAAGAUACCUUAAUAGAAAAUUACUCAAGUAAAAUUGAAAGUCCCCAGUAAAAUCCUACUUGAGUCUAAAAAGUAAAUGUAUUUGAUUUGAAAUAUAAUUAAGUAUCAAAAGUAAAAUAAAUUGCAAAAAUAUAAAUAGUCCUUAUAUUAAGCAAACCAGACGGCACCAUUUUCUUGUUUUUAAAAUUUACGGAUAGCCAGGGGCACACUCCAACAUAACAGACAUAAUUUACAAACGAAGUAUGUGUUUAGUGAGUCUGACAACGAUCGUGACAAUAGCCAUAGCCAGCUAGCUAACAUAGCAUCCCUCUCUGUUUGAGCCGAGUUUUUGAGUUGGCUAAACUGCAUUCGCUAGCUAAGGAAGUGAAAGUUUAAAAAAAAUACAAAAUAUAGCUAGUUCUCUCUUGAUUCUCCAUUUAAGAAAUUAAUUUGUUCAAAACUGUUCUAUUAUUUUCUUUCUCUCUCUUUGAGUCAACUACUCACCACAUUUUAUGCACUGCAGUAUUCGCUAGCUGAAGCUUAUGCUUUCACUACUAGAUUAAUUCUCUGAUCCUAUGAUUGGGAGGACAAGAUGUCAGUUCAUGCUGUAAUAGCUGAUCAGGUGGUGUACAUCCUCCGAAAGUUGUCAUAACUACUGUGUAAGUCUAUGGGAGGGGUGAGAACCAAGUGCCUUCUGUGUUUUGUAUUGAAGUCGAUGUACCCAGAGGAGGAUGGAAACUAGCUGGACUUAGGCUACACCAUGGUGCCACCCUACAGAGUGCUGUUAAGGCUACUGUAGACAUCCUUUAUUGCUAAACAGUUUUUAAAAAACUUGUUUUGUUUUUUUAACUAGGCAAGUCAGUUAAGAACAAAUUCUUAUUUUCAAUGACGGCCUAGGAACAGUGGGUUAACUGCCUGUUCAGGGGCAGAACGACAGAUUUGUACCUUGUCAGCUCGGGGAUUUGAAUUUGCAACCUUCCGGUUACUAGUCCAACGCUCUAACCACUAGGCUACCCUGCCGCCCCAGAACACAGUGUGUUUUAAUCAAUUAUUUGGUGAUGUUAAUAUAGUUAGUAUAGUUUUAUCUUUAAAGGGUAACGUUUGUAAUGUUUCACUAUUUGUACUUCUAUGAAAUUCACUGAGGAGGAUGGUCAUCCCCUUCCUCUUCUGAGGAGCCUCCACUGAAAGCUACUCUACUCGUGCCAAAAUUUGACUGUAGGGUGUCAGCAAAAUAUAAUUAAAACUUGACCCUAUUCACUAAUGGCAAAGAUCAUUUAAUAUUUCCACUUUCAACUGUGUCUGGUGUUAGCUAUUUGCUUUGGAGCAUUCAAGAAUAUUACCUUUGAUUUUGAGUAUCGUUGACACUUCAGAAAGUUGCUGGCAGACCUCGGUCAAAUACAUAU